RNAcentral lists this long non-coding RNA (280 nucleotides) under Lathyrus oleraceus (garden pea). RNAcentral describes it as "Pisum sativum (pea) long non-coding RNA (PSAT_LNC010361)". Lineage: Eukaryota; Viridiplantae; Streptophyta; Magnoliopsida; Fabales; Fabaceae. The record is from RNAcentral.
AAAUUUCCAAAUUGUUAAGUUCAUUCCAAAAAUAUCUUAACAAAAUUUCAUUCAAACUCAUUCCAACAUUUUCAACAAUAAACUCCAACAUUUUUUAAUUCCAACAAGAAAAUGAAGUCAUUCCAAAAAAUUAUUUCAAUAAAGUCUCCAAAUACAUUCCAAAUUCAUAACCAUAUUUCAAAAGCCCAUUCCACAUGAAAUUAUUCACAAAAUAACAACAAAAAUAGUGUGAUUAUUGAACCAAAAAGAGUGAUUUACAAAAUAGUGAUUCAAGUCUAAA